CAUUUUUAUGAGACCUGUUGUUUAUUUACUUAUCCACAAUUCUUUUUUCUUCCUAGCACACCUAGGCCUACCACAUCCAAGGGUUGAAAUCUGUAACUGAAGAAGAGGUGUUGGACCAAAUCUGCUACCAUUAGCUGAUCGCCAGUCUGUCCAAAACAUGGAGGAGCGGCUCAGAAAUAGUGCUGACCUCAAAAACCAUCUGAGAACUGCACUGGCUCUUAAAGGAGGGGGAGACGUUAAAGAGUGUAAAGAGUGUCAUGUGCAACCUUAACACUCUCUCGCCAAGAAUGUCAACAUGCGCGGUAUAAAUGGCAAGAUUGGCUUCCAGCACCUGCAAAUAAAGGAUGUUGUAAUUGAAGUCCACGGUGGGAAUGAUGGACUCACAGACAGCGCUGCUUCAUUUGGACUUCUGUGCCCUUUGUUAAUUUUUUACUAAGACUUUAACCUCCCUGAUUUUAUUUGUUUUCCUUUUGUUAUCCUUAAGCUCACAUUCUUUUAAUGUAUUUCAAUUAUUGAUCUUAUAAUUUUAUUGGGUUGAAAGCAUAAAAUUUUUUUCCAUCCCCACUUAAUGUUGUUUCCCUCUGUUCACCUUGUUCGCUCUCCAACAGUGUCACAUAUUAUUUGAUUUUUAUAUUGUUACUUAUUAUAUAUUGUUAUUUUGAACAAGUUAUUCAAAUCAAAAUAAAUGUUAUUUGUAU
This is a long non-coding RNA of Melanotaenia boesemani (Boeseman's rainbowfish), 698 nucleotides long. RefSeq lists it as uncharacterized. NCBI's taxonomy places the organism in Eukaryota, Metazoa, Chordata, Actinopteri, Atheriniformes, Melanotaeniidae. The transcript is spliced from 3 exons. The record is from RefSeq and is a predicted model, not a curated record.